This 410-nucleotide ribosomal RNA is filed under the name uncultured bacterium. Its description in RNAcentral is "bacterial SSU rRNA". It matches the Rfam family "Bacterial small subunit ribosomal RNA", at positions 29 to 483 of the family's 1533-position model. The record is from RNAcentral.
AACGAACGCUGGCGGCAGGCCUAACACAUGCAAGUCGAGCGCGCCCCCAACUUCGGUUGGAUCGGUGAGCGGCGGACGGGUUAGUAACGCGUGGGAACGUGCCCUUUAGCUCAGAAUAGCCCUUGGAAACGAGGAGUAAUACUGGAUACGCCCUUCGGGGGAAUAAAGGAUCGGCCCGCGUUAGAUUAGGUAGUUGGUGGGGUAACGGCCUACCAAGCCUACGAUCUAUAGCUGGUUUGAGAGGAUGAUCAGCAACACUGGGACUGAGACACGGCCCAGACUCCUACGGGAGGCAGCAGUGGGGAAUCUUGGACAAUGGGCGAAAGCCUGAUCCAGCCAUGCCGCGUGAGUGAAGAAGGCCCUAGGGUCGUAAAGCUCUUUCGCCUGUGAAGAUAAUGACGGUAGCAGGU